This 74-nucleotide transfer RNA is filed under the name Apaloderma vittatum (bar-tailed trogon). It matches the Rfam family "tRNA". Rfam says of the family: Transfer RNA (tRNA) molecules are approximately 80 nucleotides in length. Lineage: Eukaryota; Metazoa; Chordata; Aves; Trogoniformes; Trogonidae. The record is from Rfam by way of RNAcentral.
GGAGAAAUAGCUCAGUCGGUUAGAGCAUGGUGCUGAUAACACCAAGGUCACAGGUUUGAUCCCCGUUUGGUCCC